UACGUAGGGUGCAAGCGUUAAUCGGAAUUACUGGGCGUAAAGCGUGCGCAGGCGGUUUUGUAAGUCUGACGUGAAAUCCCCCGGGCUUAACCUGGGAAUUGCGUUGGAGACUGCAAGGCUGGAGUCUGGCAGAGGGGGGGUAGAAUUCCACGUGUAGCAGUGAAAUGCGUAGAGAUGUGGAGGAACACCGAUGGCGAAGGCAGCCCCCCUGGGUCAAGACUGACGCUCAUGCACGAAAGCGUGGGGAGCAAACAGG
Molecule: ribosomal RNA, 256 nt
Filed under: uncultured bacterium
Lineage: Bacteria
Description: partial 16S ribosomal RNA
Rfam family: Bacterial small subunit ribosomal RNA
Source: RNAcentral